Molecule: ribosomal RNA, 448 nt
Filed under: uncultured bacterium
Lineage: Bacteria
Description: partial 16S ribosomal RNA
Rfam family: Bacterial small subunit ribosomal RNA
Source: RNAcentral
UACCAGACUCCUACGGGAGGCAGCAGUGGGGAAUAUUGCACAAUGGGGGAAACCCUAAUGCAGCGACGCCGCGUGAGUGAAGAAGUAUUUCGGUAUGUAAAGCUCUAUCAGCAGGGAAGAAAAUGACGGUACCUGAAGAAGAAGCCCCGGCUAACUACGUGCCAGCAGCCGCGGUAAUACGUAGGGGGCAAGCGUUAUCCGGAUUUACUGGGUGUAAAGGGGGCGCAGACGGCGAUGCAAGCCAGGAGUGAAAGCCCGGGGCCCAACCCCGGGACUGCUCUUGGAACUGCGUGGCUGGAGUGCAGGAGGGGCAGGCGGAAUUCCUGGUGUAGCGGUGAAAUGCGUAGAUAUCAGGAGGAACACCGGUGGCGAAGGCGGCCUGCUGGACUGCAACUGACGUUGAGGCCCGAAAGCGUGGGGAGCAAACAGGAUUAGAUACCCUAGUAAG